This 253-nucleotide ribosomal RNA is filed under the name uncultured bacterium. RNAcentral describes it as "partial 16S ribosomal RNA". It matches the Rfam family "Bacterial small subunit ribosomal RNA", at positions 524 to 776 of the family's 1533-position model. The record is from RNAcentral.
UACGGGGGGGGCAAGCGUUGUUCGGAAUUACUGGGCGUAAAGGGCUCGUAGGUGGCCAACUAAGUCAGACGUGAAAUCCCUCGGCUUAACCGGGGAACUGCGUCUGAUACUGGAUGGCUUGAGUUCGGGAGAGGGAUGCGGAAUUCCAGGUGUAGCGGUGAAAUGCGUAGAUAUCUGGAGGAACACCGGUGGCGAAGGCGACAUCCUGGACCGGUAUUGACGCUGAGGCGCGAAAGCCAGGGGAGCAAACGGG